RNAcentral lists this ribosomal RNA (222 nucleotides) under Shigella boydii. RNAcentral describes it as "partial 16S ribosomal RNA". It matches the Rfam family "Bacterial small subunit ribosomal RNA", at positions 1 to 219 of the family's 1533-position model. Lineage: Bacteria; Pseudomonadati; Pseudomonadota; Gammaproteobacteria; Enterobacterales; Enterobacteriaceae. The record is from RNAcentral.
AAAUUGAAGAGUUUGAUCAUGGCUCAGAUUGAACGCUGGCGGCAGGCCUAACACAUGCAAGUCGAACGGUAACAGGAAUCAGCUUGCUGAUUCGCUGACGAGUGGCGGACGGGUGAGUAAUGUCUGGGAAACUGCCUGAUGGAGGGGGAUAACUACUGGAAACGGUAGCUAAUACCGCAUAAUGUCGCAAGACCAAAAAGGGGGACCUUCGGGCCUCUUGCC